ACAACAAGCCAAGUCCACAUAUGGCGACUGAGUCGUUUGGAAUUUCCAUGUAGCAAUGAAAAAGUCUUCAAUUACGAAAAAACCCCAUUUGCCUAACCGACUAACACGUACGAGACUCGAUAUGUCACACUAAAACGUCUAUUUUUGUGAAUUAAUCGAAUGCUCUAGACGUGUAGAGCCAAGAUUCACUCAAACAUGACAUCUUGAUAAGUGUACAAAUUACAAAAUAUUAACUCUCGAUAACGAGAAGUUAAGCACAAAACUCAACUAAAAUCCUAGCAGGGUUACAACAGAUGUUCAAAUAAACGUUGAAUAUAGAGGAAAUGAUAUGCAUAUUUUUAUUAUAAGAUUGUCACAAGGUCGAGCAUCUUUCAAUUCCAAUAGGGAUGAUCAUGAAUCAUCUUAUAAUACACAGGGCGCUGUGGAUAUCCGCUACUACCAUAACUUGAUGAAGCAUAGCACGUAACUUCCUCAUCCUCAUUAUUAUUAUUCAUUUUCUGUACACUUUCUAAGGAGGCAUUGCCAACUUUAUUCCUUAAUGCUGUUGUCAGUUUGAAUGGAUCAACUCCAUCUCUGAUCACCAUCACUCGAUCUUUAUUCGGCCCUUGGAUUACUAUCGAUGUUACACAUAUUUAAUGAACAUAACAAAUUAAUUAAUAUGCUAAGUAAACUUGAUUAUGAUUAUUAAUCAUGAUUACUGUUGGACCAAAAAUAAAAUAAGUCUAAUAAGGCCCAUCUAAUAGAUUUCCUCCCAAUUAAGCCCACGAAGUGGUGGACAAAUGACCUAGAAAGAUCCUCCUAAGUAACAAGGUUUCAAAGCUUAAAAGGAGCCAAGGUCCUAGAUUCCUAUCCUAAGACAAAUCACCUAGGAUAAAUCAACUAGGUGGCAAGGAUUAAAAGUCCAAAACGUGUUGAGGUUCUAGGCUCUUAUCCUAGGACAAACCUCCUAAGUUUGAAGGCUCUUAUGAUCCCAAGGUCUUAGUAAAAAUAACCUAAGGAUAAAACAUUCCUUCCUCUAAUUUGUAGACAAGUUUGUAUAUCCAUGUGUCAAUCCACAUGAGCACUAGAGGACAAGUGUUGCCAAAUGUCACAAGGACAAUGACAUUUGUCAUCAAAAUAACUAGGACUCAAGUCAAAUCAGUUUGGUUGAUAAAUAUGUCUUUCAUUCACAUCAAAAGGUAAGACAAAAAGAGACUCAAAAGGAAAAAAUGCUAACUUUCUCCCUCUAAUCUUUCUCUUUCUAAAUUCAUAUUUCCAAAAGUCCGAUGACUGACUUGACCGUCGGAGGGUUUACGCCGGCAAAGCCGGCCCUCUGAUAAUUUUCUUGUGUUUGUAGAGUAUCACAGGACAAUGACCUUCUGAUUGCCUAAGGAAGUGGACUCAGAAGAGUAUAUACAAAGGCCCAUAAAAGAUCAGCCUAAAGAAUGAACUCACCAUCAUAAGUUGGGACAAAAUUUGCACCAACAGUUUGGCGCCGUCUGUGGGGACCUUUCGAUAAAAGUCUUGGAAGCCCUACCAUGAGCAUGGAUUCUAACAAUGAGUACUAUAACCUUGAGGCUGAUGAUGAAAGUUCCAGAGUGGAUGAGGAUGUUCACUUCCGACGAAGGAGACGACAACGAGACCUAGAUGAUGAUGAUGACGUGGUGCCUAUCCAUCUUCCUCCAGAUCCUCAUUUGAAUCCACCUCACCACGCUAGACGUCGAGGACAGCCUCGUGUUGUUCGACUUCAACAACAAGUGGAUCAGUUGGCUCGUAACUUCAAUAGAAUGUUCGGCCAAUUUCCAGCUCGAGCUGAGGAAGGCGAGAACUCAAGUGGAGGUAAUGUGGUUGAUUCCGACUCCUCUAGAACAAGGUCUAGAGAAGAGUUAAAUGAAGAUGAUCUCAGGCAUUCCCUUAACCAAAGAAGAUCUAGGAGGAGAAUGACCAGAGAAGGUUUAGACCAAGGAGAGGAAGUCGACAAAGGAUUACAAGAAAGGAUGCAAAGACUUGAGCAAAUGGUUUGAGAAAUGGGCCCACUUGAUGAUGUAACAGCAGAACAUGAGCCACCAUUUACUUUUGAUAUAAUGGUAGCAAAGUAUCCACCUAGGUUUCAUUUACCCCAAAUUAAGGUCAUGUCACGCUAUUUACCGUUUGCUUUCGCGAUAAUCUUCAUGACUUUGAUUCUGCAUUUUUCAGGGGUCAUUUGCACCUUUAUGACUAUCCUUUGCUGCACCAUUAUGUAAUAAGAAUUGAGAUGUACUAGUGUAUGUUAACUCUAGCCACUAGCUAC
Molecule: long non-coding RNA, 2269 nt
Filed under: Citrus sinensis (sweet orange)
Lineage: Eukaryota; Viridiplantae; Streptophyta; Magnoliopsida; Sapindales; Rutaceae
Description: long non-coding RNA (CSIN_LNC001626)
Source: RNAcentral